Molecule: ribosomal RNA, 253 nt
Filed under: uncultured bacterium
Lineage: Bacteria
Description: partial 16S ribosomal RNA
Rfam family: Bacterial small subunit ribosomal RNA
Source: RNAcentral
UACGGGGGGAGCGAACGUUGUUCGGAAUCACUGGGCGUAAAGGGCGUGUAGGCGGCUGAAUAAGUGGGAUGUUAAAUCCCCCGGCUCAACCGGGGACCUGCAUCUCAUACUGUUCAGCUCGAGCACAUCAGAGGAGACUGGAAUUCCCGGUGUAGCAGUGAAAUGCGUAGAUAUCGGGAGGAACACCAGUGGCGAAGGCGAGUCUCUGGGAUGAUGCUGACGCUGAUGCGCGAAAGCCAGGGGAGCAAACGGG